AAACAGUGGUGCACGGCUGUCGUCAGCUCGUGUCGUGAGAUGUUGGGUUAAGUCCCGCAACGAGCGCAACCCCUAUCUUAUGUUGCCAGCACUUCGGGUGGGAACUCAUGAGAGACUGCCGCAGACAAUGCGGAGGAAGGCGGGGAUGACGUCAAGUCAUCAUGCCCCUUAUGACCUGGGCUACACACGUACUACAAUGGGCUUUAAUAGAGGGAAGCGAAGCCGCGAGGUGGAGCAAACCCCAGAAACAAGCUCUCAGUUCGGAUCGUAGGCUGCAACUCGCCUACGUGAAGUCGGAAUCGCUAGUAAUCGCAGGUCAGCAUACUGCGGUGAAUACGUUCCCGGGCCUUGUACACACCGCCCGUCACACCACGAAAGUCGGAAGUACCCAAAGCCGGUGGGGUAACCUUCGGGAGCCAGCCGUCUAAGGUAAAGUCGAUGAUUGGGGUGAAGUCGUAACAAGGUAGCCGUAUCGGAAGGUGCGGCUGGAUCACCUCCUUU
This 501-nucleotide non-coding RNA is filed under the name Veillonella sp. oral taxon 780 str. F0422. RNAcentral describes it as "Bacterial small subunit ribosomal RNA". It matches the Rfam family "Bacterial small subunit ribosomal RNA", at positions 1033 to 1533 of the family's 1533-position model. Lineage: Bacteria; Bacillati; Bacillota; Negativicutes; Veillonellales; Veillonellaceae. The record is from Rfam by way of RNAcentral.